GAUGAAGAACGUAGUGAAAUGCGAUAAGUAAUGUGAAUUGCAGAAUUUAGUGAAUCAUCGAAUCUUUGAACGCACAUUGCGCCCGCCAGUAUUCUGGCGGGCAUGCCUGUUCGAGCGUCAUUACAACCCUCAGGCCCCCGGGCCUGGCGUUGGGGAUCGGCGGAGCCCCCCGUGGGCACACGCCGUCCCCCAAAUGCAGUGGCGGUCCCGCCGCAGCUUCCAUCGCGUAGUAGCUAACACCUCGCGACUGGAGAGCGGCGCGGCCACGCCGUAAAACACCCAACUCUUCUGAAGUUGACCUCGAAUCAGGUAGGAAUACCCGCUGAACUUAAGCAUAUCAAUAAGCGGAGGA
Molecule: unclassified non-coding RNA, 352 nt
Filed under: soil metagenome
Description: partial contains 5.8S ribosomal RNA, internal transcribed spacer 2, and large subunit ribosomal RNA
Rfam family: 5.8S ribosomal RNA (bases 1-120)
Source: RNAcentral